Molecule: long non-coding RNA, 1244 nt
Organism: Chenopodium quinoa (quinoa)
Lineage: Eukaryota; Viridiplantae; Streptophyta; Magnoliopsida; Caryophyllales; Amaranthaceae
Exons: 3
Source: RefSeq, a predicted model, not a curated record
AAAUGUCAGAUCACACAUUCAUGCAAUCAUCUUUCUCAUUCCAGAUUCUCUCUCCUCCAAGUCGAUAAACCUCUCUCCUCCAUUGAAGCUAGUGUUAUGAAUUCUCCAUUAGAGCAGAUUUUGAGCUUUCUCUUCUCCAUUAAAGCGACUUUCAAGCUUUCUUUACUCCAUUGAAGCAUCUUUUGAGUGUGCUUCAAGUAGAAAGCAGCUAAGACUAAGGGGUACCUACUACCUAAGCUAGUUAUGCCAAAAUAAGGCUGUAUUUAAGCAAAAAGCCCCUGAUUAUGUCUUAGUUGCAGUUGGUUUUGUACAAAUCAUGGCAGACUACCUAAGUUAAGCUAAGAAUGUCUAGCAUCCUCCACCUUCCCACAUUACAAUCAACAAUUCAAGCUGGUCUCCUUCCCUCUUGGCUGAGUAUAGAAUGAGAACGGGCAGGUUCUGCCUGCAAGAGUCAGGUGAGGCCAAUAAAAGUGUUGAGCUAGUAAAAGUAAAUCAUUUAAAUUUUAAAGUAAAUUGAAAGACUGAAUUUAUGAUUUAUAAUUAAUAAGCUAUUAAAAUCAAAGUGGAAUCCGACCAUAUGUACAUCUGAAGCAUGCCGAAGAUACGUAGUUCACUUUAAAUCGUUCACUUGGAAGCAGAGUAAUUCUACUAUCUAGGCCAUUUGGUAUAUGAUCCUUCUGUUUCUUACAGUAAUUUUAUAUUUUGCAACAUUUUCUUAUGAUAAAUGUUAGGUUUUUUUUAUCUUCUUCUCUUGAAGAACUUUACCAGCAAUUGCUUCCUGCUGUUGGAUGUUGCUGACUUCUCCAUGAAGGUUUUUAUAAACUUAUAGCCAUCAAAUGAUUUGGCUAUGGUAGGCCAGCCACUCACUAGCAAUCUUAUCCCCAAUAUAUACAUAUGAUUAUGGAUUGAGGAGGCUCCUCCUCGUGUAAUGGAUGUUGUUAUGCUAGAUUCUACUAGCAUUCCUUUAUAAAAUCUGUUGCUGCUUUUUGUCAACAACAAAAAAAUGUUCUCAUUGCGAGAAAUACAUAUGUUGUCUCUAAAAGUAAAUAAAAAAGAAUAUAAAGUAAAUAAAAAGGACUUUAAAGUAAACCUAUUAGCUCAAGUGGUAGAGCACUAUGCGAAUGCAUAGAGGUGUAGGUUCGAUUCCUACAUAGGUUCUCUGAAAAUACAUAUUAAAACACUCUAAAGUUAUUCAAAUUAGCUCAAAAGUAAAUCAAAAUAACUAAAAAGUAAAUCACAUUAGC